Molecule: RNA transcript, 1484 nt
Organism: Salvia hispanica
Lineage: Eukaryota; Viridiplantae; Streptophyta; Magnoliopsida; Lamiales; Lamiaceae
Gene name: putative envelope ADP,ATP carrier protein, chloroplastic
Source: RefSeq, a predicted model, not a curated record
UAUUCUUUAAACUCCAUCUCUAUUGAUACCUUAUCUGUAGAGAGGGAAACGGCGCUUAAACCCCUCUUUCCCAAAAUGACCGAUAAUUCUCAACCUACAUUCACAUGGCGGGAAAUUCCGGGCCUUCACCCGACCCGCUCAGGCGGCCUCCGCCUCCGCCAAUGCAAUUCCAGACGCUUCGGCGAUGGCAGAGGGCCUAAUUUUGCCUGUAUUUCGCUCGCCGAGAAGAGGGAGGACAAGGAGUUCUCGCCCUCGUUCGAUCAGAUUUUGAAGCAUCCACUCGCUAUGGUUGCAUUGGUCCCCAAAGACGCCGCUCUCUUCGCCGCCGGGGCUAUUGCCGGCGCCGCCGCCAAAACCGUUACUGCUCCGCUCGACCGUAUCAAGCUUCUUAUGCAGACUCAUGGGCUUAGAGCUGGACAAGAUGGUGCGAAGAAGGGAAUAGGUUUUCUUGAGGCUAUCUCGUUGGUCGGAAAGGAAGAAGGGCUAAAAGGUUACUGGAAAGGGAAUCUCCCUCAGGUGAUUCGGGUUAUACCUUACAGUGCAGUUCAACUUUUUGCCUAUGAGUCAUACAAGAAACUUUUCCGGGGAAAGGAUGGUGAACUCUCUCUAAUUGGAAGAUUAGCUGCAGGUGCUUGUGCUGGCAUGACUUCAACUUUCGUUACAUACCCGCUUGAUGUCCUCCGUUUGAGGUUAGCUGUUGAACCUGGCUACAAAACAAUGUCACAGGUUGCUGCAAACAUGUUGAGAGAGGAAGGAUUUGCGUCAUUUUAUAAUGGUCUAGGACCUUCUCUUAUUGGAAUCGCACCUUAUAUUGCAGUGAAUUUCUGCGUUUUUGACUUGGUGAAGAAGUCUCUCCCGGAAAAGUAUCAGAAGAGGACUGAAGCAUCCAUGGUGACUGCACUAGUGUCAGCGACUGUAGCUACACUCAUGUGCUAUCCUUUGGACACUGUUAGGAGGCAGAUGCAACUGAAGGGUACCCCUUACGUGACCGUUUUGGAUGCCAUUCCAGGUAUUGUGGCUCGCGAUGGUUUAGUGGGACUGUACAGGGGUUUCAUCCCCAAUGCAUUAAAGUCUCUUCCCAACAGCAGCAUAAGGCUUACUACAUUUGACAGUGUGAAGCGUCUUAUCGCGUCAGGGGAGAAAGAACUUCAAAGGAUUAUGGUGGAAAACCGCAAGAAUGCAGAUCAAAGUGCUAGUGACAAUGGAUCUAGUUAGCUUUGCUUCGUCAUCCCUAGCUCGCAGUCAGUAUCUAUCGUGCACAACGAGAAGCUCUUUUAUUUUUGAAGGAAUUAAAGUGUUACAUCUUACAGGGCAUCUUCGAAGAUCUUAGAGAGACAGAGAGAUAGAGUUUAUAUUUUUUGCAGUCUACGUUUUAUUUUCAUUUCAUGUGGGUAUAUAUCAUAUAGGCAUUUUUAUUGUCGUCGGAGUAUUAUUUUGAGAUCUUAUAUAUUCUCAACAUUUACAAUGCAAUUAGUCUUAAGAUA